This 520-nucleotide ribosomal RNA is filed under the name uncultured bacterium. RNAcentral describes it as "bacterial SSU rRNA". It matches the Rfam family "Bacterial small subunit ribosomal RNA", at positions 777 to 1297 of the family's 1533-position model. The record is from RNAcentral.
AAUAGAUACCCGGGUAGUCCACGCCGUAAACGAUGAGUGCUAAGUGUUAGAGGGUUUCCGCCCUUUAGUGCUGAAGUUAAUGCAUUAAGCACUCCGCCUGGGGAGUACGGCCGCAAGGCUGAAACUCAAAGGAAUUGACGGGGGCCCGCACAAGCGGUGGAGCAUGUGGUUUAAUUCGAAGCAACGCGAAGAACCUUACCAGGUCUUGACAUCCUCUGACAACCCUAGAGAUAGGGCUUCUCCUUCGGGAGCAGAGUGACAGGUGGUGCAUGGUUGUCGUCAGCUCGUGUCGUGAGAUGUUGGGUUAAGUCCCGCAACGAGCGCAACCCUUGAUCUUAGUUGCCAUCAUUAAGUUGGGCACUCUAAGGUGACUGCCGGUGACAAACCGGAGGAAGGUGGGGAUGACGUCAAAUCAUCAUGCCCCUUAUGACCUGGGCUACACACGUGCUACAAUGGACGGUACAAAGAGCUGCAAGACCGCGAGGUGGAGCUAAUCUCAUAAAACCGUUCUCAGUUCGGA